This 497-nucleotide ribosomal RNA is filed under the name uncultured bacterium. Its description in RNAcentral is "partial 16S ribosomal RNA". It matches the Rfam family "Bacterial small subunit ribosomal RNA", at positions 28 to 507 of the family's 1533-position model. The record is from RNAcentral.
GAUGAACGCUGGCGGCGUGCCUAAUACAUGCAAGUCGAGCGAACAGAUGAGGAGCUUGCUCCUCUGACGUUAGCGGCGGACGGGUGAGUAACACGUGGAUAACCUACCUAUAAGACUGGUAUAACUUCGGGAAACCGGAGCUAAUACCGGAUAAUAUAUUGAACCGCAUGGUUCAAUAGUGAAAGACGGUUUUGCUGUCACUUAUAGAUGGAUCCGCGCCGCAUUAGCUAGUUGGUAAGGUAACGGCUUACCAAGGCAACGAUGCGUAGCCGACCUGAGAGGGUGAUCGGCCACACUGGAACUGAGACACGGUCCAGACUCCUACGGGAGGCAGCAGUAGGGAAUCUUCCGCAAUGGGCGAAAGCUUGACGGAGCAACGCCGCGUGAGUGAUGAAGGUCUUCGGAUCGUAAAACUCUGUUAUUAGGGAAGAACAAAUGUGUAAGUAACUAUGCACGUCUUGACGGUACCUAAUCAGAAAGCCACGGCUAACUACGUG